RNAcentral lists this unclassified non-coding RNA (210 nucleotides) under Lecanoromycetes sp. RNAcentral's name for it is "partial contains small subunit ribosomal RNA, internal transcribed spacer 1, and 5.8S ribosomal RNA". The stretch from base 1 to 46 matches the Rfam family "Eukaryotic small subunit ribosomal RNA", at positions 1786 to 1831 of the family's 1831-position model. The record is from RNAcentral. Lineage: Eukaryota; Fungi; Ascomycota; Lecanoromycetes.
AAGUCGUAACAAGGUUUCCGUAGGUGAACCUGCGGAAGGAUCAUUAAAGGUUUCGGGUACAGAGUGCCCAAACUUCAACCCUAUGUUUUAACUAAACCAGUUUCUUUGCCGGUUUCGGCCGGCAGAAGUUUUCUAAAACUCAUUAUAAAUGUGUCUUCUGAAUCAAAAUUAAAUAAAUUAAAACUUUCAACAACGGAUCUCUUGGUUCUG